UAAAAAAACAAACCCUAAUUUCCGUGUCUAACGUUUGACCGUCCGUCUUAUUUGAAAAAAUUAUAAAAAAAAAUUAAAAAGAUAAGUUACGCAUAAAAUAUUAAUCAUGUUUUAUCAUCUAACAAUAAUAAAAAUACUAAUUAUAAAAAAAUCUCAUAUAAGACGGAUAGUCAAAUGUUGGUACAGAAAUCUAGAGUUUGACUUUUU
MicroRNA precursor from Oryza rufipogon (brownbeard rice), 207 nucleotides. It matches the Rfam family "MIR812 microRNA precursor family". Lineage: Eukaryota; Viridiplantae; Streptophyta; Magnoliopsida; Poales; Poaceae. The record is from Rfam.